This 505-nucleotide ribosomal RNA is filed under the name uncultured bacterium. RNAcentral describes it as "partial 16S ribosomal RNA". It matches the Rfam family "Bacterial small subunit ribosomal RNA", at positions 28 to 507 of the family's 1533-position model. The record is from RNAcentral.
GACGAACGCUGGCGGCGUGCCUAAUACAUGCAAGUGGGACGCAAGGAAACACACUGUGCUUGCACACCGUGUUUUCUUGAGUCGCGAACGGGUGAGUAACGCGUAGGUAACCUGCCUAUUAGCGGGGGAUAACUAUUGGAAACGAUAGCUAAUACCGCAUAAUAUUAAUUAUUGCAUGAUAAUUGAUUGAAAGAUGCAAGCGCAUCACUAGUAGAUGGACCUGCGUUGUAUUAGCUAGUUGGUAAGGUAAGAGCUUACCAAGGCGACGAUACAUAGCCGACCUGAGAGGGUGAUCGGCCACACUGGGACUGAGACACGGCCCAGACUCCUACGGGAGGCAGCAGUAGGGAAACUUCGGCAAUGGACGAAAGUCUGAACGAGCAACGCCGCGGUAGGGAAGAAGGGUAUCGGAUCGUAAAGCUCUGUUGUAAGUCAAGAACGUGUGUGAGAGUGGAAAGUUCACACAGUGACGGUAGCUUACCAGAAAGGGACGGCUAACUACGUG